This 245-nucleotide unclassified non-coding RNA is filed under the name Hevea brasiliensis (rubber tree). Lineage: Eukaryota; Viridiplantae; Streptophyta; Magnoliopsida; Malpighiales; Euphorbiaceae. The record is from RNAcentral.
CAACACCCGGCCGCGCGUCGCGAAAAGAGGCAGCGCCGUUUUCCUGCAUCUCGCCCGCGAGAAAUUUUCACCAACCGCAGGCUGCGUCGGACUCACCAAAAACGCGAUGCUGAGAUUGCUGUCGCGGUUGGGACCGGAGACGAAAAUCGUGAUCGGCUGAACGCUCGCGAAAAUCAGCGAUGACCGAAGAUCGCGGAGCCAACACGCACAUGGGUAGCGCCGAGCUGAAUCGCGGUGGCGAAAUC